AUGGAGAGCACCCGGAGAGGAACAUUAUUUCAGCUGUUCUAUAACCCAGCACCAGUCUUUAUCUUUCCACGAGAAGUUAUGGAUACACGGCUGAGUAUUAAAUGGAGCGAUGACAACAUUGUCUGGAUAGGCAAUGAAAAAGCAGGAGGGAUUAUUUGGCUGCUGAGGGAGAAUGCAAACCGACAGAAUGAAGCCCCGCCCCCUUCCCAAGUCUUGGAGACAUCGGUCCCUGGAGGAAAAGGCCCUGUGCUGAUCACCUGAAGCAGAUCGUCUCCUCCAUUGUCCUGUGGGCGCUCCUGGGUGAUGAAGGUCAUCAGCUCUUGCACGGACUGUUGCCUGGCUGAGGAAGAGGAGCAGCCUGCGGUUGUGAGCCUUGCCUCUUCCUCCUCCUCCUCCAUCGGCUCCCUCAAGGACACCUCCAGGGUCGGGGUCAGGAUCAGAGAUGACGGGAGAGAACAGUCACAGCGUCGGCACAGCCAGGGCGGGACCAGCGAGUAAAAAGACACCUCCAGGGUCGGGGUCAAGAUCAGAGAAGACGGGAGAGGACAGUCACAGCGUCGGCACAGCCAGGGCGGGACUGUUGAUGCUAGGGUUUUGUUCACCAGAAGGGGCGGGGGGAGCUUGGG
This is a long non-coding RNA of Anguilla anguilla (European eel), 626 nucleotides long. RefSeq lists it as uncharacterized. Lineage: Eukaryota; Metazoa; Chordata; Actinopteri; Anguilliformes; Anguillidae. The record is from RefSeq and is a predicted model, not a curated record. The transcript has 5 exons.